AGGCAAGAUGUUGGCAUAGCUGAGAUUGAUGACGUCAGCUGUGCCCCAUAUUGCCAUC
Molecule: microRNA precursor, 58 nt
Filed under: Nautilus pompilius
Lineage: Eukaryota; Metazoa; Mollusca; Cephalopoda; Nautilida; Nautilidae
Description: Npo-Mir-31_pre stem-loop
Source: RNAcentral